This is a long non-coding RNA of Panicum virgatum (switchgrass), 1186 nucleotides long. RefSeq lists it as uncharacterized. The record is from RefSeq and is a predicted model, not a curated record. Lineage: Eukaryota; Viridiplantae; Streptophyta; Magnoliopsida; Poales; Poaceae. The transcript is spliced from 5 exons.
UGUUCAGCGGUUCCACAAAACCGGCUGCCGGACCGCACCCAACCCGCAUGAAACCGUCAACCCGAGUCUCACCCACGGGUCGGUCCCAGACCGUUCGAGAACCAGAGAUCUACUCGGAACUUCUGCCGGUGUGCGGGUCGAAACCUGAAACCCGCUGAAACUCGAUCUACUCGGAAAAAGGGGGCGGCGCAGCGGCGGUGGCGCGGAUGCCGCGCGACGGCGUCGCUCAAGGCCUCGAGGUCGAGGCCGUGCUAGCAGCCGAGGCAGCGUGGGAGCAAUGGGAUGCUGCUGCCUCGAUGGCUGGAUGCUUCAACAUGGACCUGGACUCGCCGCAGCAUCUCCCGGAAGGAGGCGAUGGGUCGAUCUCUGCUCCCAAUUCGUCUGCACUGAACAAACAUUCUCUAUUUCAGGAUAACCUGGAUGGUGAAGAACAAUCUUUACAAGCACCUGCUGCAAUGUCCUUAGAAGAAAGCAAUCGCAGAAUCAAUAGGCAUCAUUGCCGUCUCAAGUCGAAAAGCGAAAGGGGUCAACUUCAGCGGUUAAUGCUUCAAAUACUAUGCAUAUAAGCGAAACAGAUCAACUUCAGCAGUCAACUACCUCUCCCACUCCGAUCUCUCCAGUUCACAAAGUUGAAGCUUUAAUUUGUUCACAAAGUUGGCUUCGAACAUCACAAAGAAAAUUAAGUGAAAGAGAGGCUGCUGAAGAGGUCCAGGCAUACGAGGAGAUUAGAGAAGAGUUUGUUUCAAAGGACUGCACUGACAAGCAACACCAUGUUGGUUUCAUUGAGCUGGACACAUAGCCUUUUGAUGGAAGGCAAGAGCUCGAGGGCGAUGACAAGAUUUUAUUGAGUUAGACAUAUAGCCUUUUGAUGCAAGUACGAGAGUAUUAUGGGCUAUGCGGGUCUGAAACAACAUCAGUUUUGUUUAUGUUUUGGUUAAGUUAAACCAUUGUUGGUACCCUGCUUUCAGAAAACUUGAGUUCCAUUGGCAGACAUCAAAUGUAUUCAGCACGAACAGUUCCCUAGCCAUGAUGUUCUCUUUCCACACUAGGCUAAAUUCUGUUAAGUUAAAUUUUGAGGCUACUGAUAUCUUCCUGUAUAAGCUGUUAAGAGGGAAUAGUUUUGGCAUGUACUAAAACUCAUUGAACGUAUGCUGCUAAUUUCAUCUUCUUUGUCUAAGCUGCACAA